This 4023-nucleotide unclassified non-coding RNA is filed under the name Aplysia californica (California sea hare). RNAcentral describes it as "multidrug resistance-associated protein 1, transcript variant X2". The record is from RNAcentral. Lineage: Eukaryota; Metazoa; Mollusca; Gastropoda; Aplysiida; Aplysiidae.
AUUAUAUUCAGUAAUGCAGAGUAUCAAAAUAAGCAUGACAAAGAAGCGAAAUAAAAAUAUAAUACAAUAUUAUACAACAAAUUCAAAAACGUGUUACACUGUUCAAAAACAAAAUCAUAUCUACAUUGGCAGGCUUCAAAGAUCCCCUUCUGGCCGAGAUGAGCUCACCCGCUUUCGAAAAGAGCCUCUCUUGAGACGAUGUCGUAACGAGGAUCCAGCUUGUUCACCAGUCGCCGAAACGCUGUAUUUUCUACCACUGAAAGAGUUAUGUUGUGCUGGUCUCAUGAUCACGGAGAGUGCCUACAUCGGUCAGUUGGUGCAAGGACACUGGGACGAGACUCCAAGUUCUCUUGUGUAUGCCAGCAGCAUGAAACUAGCAUCUUUUGGUCUAUUGCUUCCGGUGAUAUUUUUGGAGUGGAGGAAAUGCAGGAGACAGUCCCCCGGACUUCUGCUCUUUUUCCUGUUGCUCUUGUUGACGCAUAUUGUGCCUCUAUAUUCAAACAUUAUUCUGGAGGUAUAUGAAGAAGAGACAUCCCUCUUUGUCACAUUUGCUGUCAAUUAUGUCGCUAUUCUGACCGGAACUGUUCUGCAUUGUUUCAACUCCAGGAUAAAAGCCUGGGAGGUGCAAUCUCCUGAAGAAGGGGCAUCCAUUCUGUCCAAAGUGACCAUGUGGUGGACAACCAGUUUGAUCAUAUCUGGAUAUAAGAAGCCCUUAACGGAGAAUGAUGUCUACCCCCUGAGCACCAAGAUAAGAUGUGGCACUGUAUUCCCACAUUUUUUGCACCAUUUGGACAAAGAAAUACAAAAAUGCUGGCAAAAGCAAUCUGCUUUGGAGAGAGCACCAGGGAACAAAGGUUUAGUGGACUACAAGAAGGCAAGGGGGGCUGACCUUGCUCAGAAGAAAACUAAGGCUGUGUCAAAUGGGGAAGUGCUGGAUGAUGAGUGUGGAAAAGGAGACAGUAGUGCCGAGAAAGAUAGAGAUGUGAGUGAAAAGUUGCUUGAUGACGAUGAGAUUACAGUGGAGAUCAGGACUGGAUCGACUAAGUCAGGGUCUGCAGAGACAGGAGCAGGCUCUGCAUUCUUGUGGAAAGUGAUCUUCCGCACCUUCUACCGUUCUGUCAUCUUCUGCAGCGUAAUGGCUCUGAUAGCGACGUUCUUCAGUGUGAUGGGUCCACUGCUGGUCAAAUAUUUGAUAUUGUUUAUCUCUGACAAGGAGGCGCAGUCCUGGCAUGGUUAUUUGCUGGCUGUCGCACUGUUUUCCACCUUUGGCAUUGCACACAUUCUCUCUGAGUUUUUCUACUACCAGUGCAACAAAUUUGCUGUGACAGUGAAUACAUCUAUUCUUUCUGCAGUAUAUCAAAAGUCUCUUCGUCUGAGCAGUGAGGCCCGCCAGUCAACAUCUGCAGGGGCAGUAAUCCAACUGAUAUCGUCUGACAGUAACAGUAUUUGGGGUCUCUGCAAUGAGAUGUUCAUGCUGCUUCAGUGUAUUCUUCAGUUUUCAGUGGGUGUCGCCCUUGUUUACCAGGCAAUGGGUGUGGCAGUUUUUGCUGGUCUGAGUGUGUUGGCAGUACUGUUUGUGAUCAAGUCAAUCACCUUGAGGAAACACGCUCAGCUUGACCAGAUCAUGAAGAAGCAGGCGGACAAAAGGCUCAAGGUCAUCACCGAAGUUUUGAGUGGCAUCAAGGUACUGAAACUCUAUUCAUGGAACGCAGCGUUUAAGCGACUCAUCAGUGAAAUAAGAGAAGUGGAACUUACUGCUUUGUUCAAAUUUGAUAUGCUGGGUUUGGUCAUCACGUACAGUUGGACCGGAGCCAUUUUCUGGAUGGUUUUCUUCAUUUUCGUAACGCACGUGCUAGUGGAAGAUGACCAUCGCUUGGAUGCAGCGACAGUGUUCGUUACAAUGGCCUACUGUACAUUCAUUAGACAAGCUGUCAACAAAUCGGCCUAUGUGUUUGGCUUCAUUGUCACUGGUAUAGUGUCUGCCAAGCGUAUUGGGAAGUUUCUACUCCUGAAAGAGGUGACAAAUACUGAGGUCCAAGGGGAUCCUGCUAAUGCAACUCUACCUCCAGGUGUCGCUCUACAAAUCACCAACGGUCAGUUCAGCUGGGACAGGAGCAAAGCCCCCACUCUCAAUAACAUAAACCUGAAAGUAUUGGAGGGCAGUUUGACUGCGGUGGUGGGCAUGAUUGGCUCUGGAAAAUCAUCGCUGAUCUCUGCCAUGCUCCAGGAGAUGUCCAUUCUGUUUGGGACUGUGGAGAGCAAGGGCACUACGGCAUAUGUCCCCCAGGAAGCCUGGAUUCAGAAUGAUACGGUGAAAAAUAACAUCCUGUUUGGUAGUGAAUUCGAUGAGGAGUUGUACUCGAAGGUCAUCGGGGCCUGUGCUCUGGAACCUGACCUAGCUGUGUUGCCUGCUGGGGACCACACAGAAAUUGGCGAGAGGGGUGUCAACUUAAGCGGUGGUCAGAAGCAGCGGAUCAGCCUGGCCCGAGCGACGUACCAACAGUGUGACUUGUACCUCAUGGACGACCCUCUCAGCGCAGUAGACAGCCACGUGGGACGGCACAUCUUCCAGAAUCUUGUCGGACCCGGUGGCUUGCUGAAGGACAAGACAAGAGUCAUGGUGACCCACGGCCUCCACUGGCUGACAGAGGUGGACCAAGUCGUGGUGAUGACUGCUGGUCAAGUCACAGAGCAGGGCUCCCUGGAACAGCUGAUGCAACACCAUGGCCCUUUUGCCCAGUUUCUAUCACAGUAUGUGCAACAGCAGCAGCAGCAACAACCAGAACAACAACAGCAGCAGCUAGAGUCUGGAAGUGGCGACAACGUCCAAGCUUCCGCGGACGAGGUGUGUGGGAGAGAGAGUUCUGUGUCUGUGCAAGAUGCUGAGGAAGAAGCUGCUGAGCUGGAUGGGGAUUCGUCUGAGGAAAUACGUCAGAAACUUUUUCAGCGUUUGAUUUCCGUUCAGUCAUCAUCCUCUGAGGUGGAUGAGGCAGUGGGUCUUGAUGCUGCUACUGGGACAAACAGGAAUGCCAGUGAGGUUACAGCUUUCGGGCAUACAGAGAAAGAUCUUGUCAAACAUGAAACUGAGGAUGAGAGCAGUCGCUUAAUUGCGGAAGAAGAACUGGCUCAUGGAAGAGUGGAGUGGUCAGUGUACGCUGCCCUGUACCGUACUAUGGGCGUUGUUCCAAUGACUAUCAUGGUCCUGCUGUACAUCAGUUACUUCGUCUUUGACCUGGCCGAUGGCUUCUGGCUCACCUUCUGGGUAGAUGACCCGGUCUUGAGCAACGUGUCGCUGCCGGGGGACAGCGAGCUGCGACGUGAAGGGAACAACUACUACAUCACUACUUAUGCCAUGUGGGGCAUUCUGGAGACGGUGGUGAUAGUCGUUUACUCUGUGAUCAAGGCGUUCCGACACAAGAUCUUCUCACAAUCUGUCCACGCAGACAUGCUGGACAGCGUCCUGUACAGUCCCAUCCAGUUCUUUGAAACGACGCCCAUGGGCAGAAUUUUAGCUAGAUUCUCCAAGGAUAUAAAUGUGAUGGACAUGACGCUGUUCCUCUUCAUCGAGAUCUGGCUGCACAGUUGCAUCGGCAUCCUCUGCAUUCUCAUCACCAUCGUCAUCAAUCUUCCAAUCUUCCUCGCUGCUGCAGUGCCCAUCAUUUGUCUCUUUUAUGUCUUGGAGAGGUUUUACCUGCCCACGUCGUGCCAGCUGCGCCGACUCCAGAGUAAGUGGCUCUCCCCUGUGUUUAACCACGUCAGCGAAUCACUGGCCGGAGUGAGUGUGAUCCGGGCACUGGGCCAGGAAGGGAGAUUUAUUCAUUUAGCGGAAGACAAAAUCGACUUCAGCCAACGUUUCAAACUGGCAGCUUAUGCCUGUGGUUGUCGGUGUGGCUGGGACUGUUGUCCGACGUCCUUAUCCUGUGUACCGGUGUCCUGGCCGUGACCUACCGCGAUGAGCUGACCCCUGGUCUCACUGGACUCUGUCUCAGUAUGGCUCUCAUUAUCACUGAUCAGAUGCAGCUU